CACUCUCUGUGUCUUAAAAAUAAAUAAAUGUUAAUUUUUUUUUUUUAAAAAGCAAUCAAUCAAAAACUAAUCCAUAAUCUACACAAAUGCUACAAUUAGCAGACAAGGACAUUUAAAAAAGUUAUUAUAACAGUAUUUCAUAUAUGGAAAAAACCCCAUGCCUCUACUUAACUCAAUGAAUUGUGCAACAACUUCAAGUGGCCUAAUAUAUGUAUACUUAGAGUCCACGAAGGAGAGGAGAUAUAAAAAAAAUUUGAAAAACUAAUAGCCCCUACAUUUCCAAAUAAGUAAACCCUAUAAACUCACAAAUCCAGGAAGGUCAAUGAAAUCUGAGCACAACAUGGAUUAAACUACAUGUUUAGUUUAAUCCAUUAAACACGGAUAAAACUACACCACGGCACAUGAUAAUCAAACUGGUCAAAGCCAGUGAUAAAGAGCAAAUCUUAAAAGCAGCCAAAGGAACAAAACCACACAUGACACACAGAGCAACAAAGAUAUAACAAUGACAACAUAUUUCUUGUUGGAAAUAAUGUAAGCCAGAACUCGGUGGGGCAACAUCUUUCAGGCAGUGAAAAGGAGAGGGGGACCAAAUAGCCAUCAAGCUAGAAUUCUAUACCCAAAUCUUUCAAAAAUAAAAGCAAGAUAGACUAUCUGAGACAUACAAGAGCUGGAAGAAUUCAUCAUUAGCAGGCUUACACUGUAGAAAUGCCAAAGGAAGUAUUUUUUUAAAUGUUUAUUUGAGAGACAGAGAGAGAGGGCACGUGCAGUAUGCGUGUGCAAGGGGGAAAGAGCACUGAGGAGACAGAGAAUCCCAAGCAAAGCCCAACGCGGGACUUGAGCUCACAAACUGUGAGAUUAUGACCUGAGCCAAAAUCAAGAGUUGGAUGCUUAACUGACUGAGCCACCCAGGUGCCCCUAAAGAAAGUAUUUUUAAGCAGAAGGAAAAGGAUAGCAGACGGAAAUGUGGAUCCACACAAAGGAAUGAAGAACAUUAGAACUGUGCCGCCUUCUCUUCAUGGAGCUAUUGUGCCUGAGCCAAGGGGAGAAUGAGAACUGACCCGACAGGUUACAUCUGCUGGACCGACAGCAAUUGUUUUUCCACAGACUGCGAUACGAACGAACGGUGGACGCUGCACUAGACAUCAUCUCCAUUUCCGUUCAAUUCCCUCAUUUUACAGAUAAAACGUGUGCUGACUCAGUC
Panthera uncia (snow leopard) is the source of this 1201-nucleotide long non-coding RNA. RefSeq lists it as uncharacterized. Lineage: Eukaryota; Metazoa; Chordata; Mammalia; Carnivora; Felidae. The record is from RefSeq and is a predicted model, not a curated record. The transcript is spliced from 2 exons.